GCUCUCGUAGCUUAAUGGAUAGAGUAUCGGUCUUCGGAACCGAUGGUGGAGGUUCGAUUCCUCCCGAGAGCG
This 72-nucleotide transfer RNA is filed under the name Candidatus Roizmanbacteria bacterium. Its description in RNAcentral is "tRNA-Arg". It matches the Rfam family "tRNA". Rfam says of the family: Transfer RNA (tRNA) molecules are approximately 80 nucleotides in length. Their secondary structure includes four short double-helical elements and three loops (D, anti-codon, and T loops). Lineage: Bacteria; Candidatus Roizmaniibacteriota. The record is from RNAcentral.